UUUUUCUUCCUUUGACCCUUCAGGUAUUGGUUUUUGGCAGGAGCAUUUCCCCCACAACAUAUCGUAGGUGACUGAAGAAAAUGUCUAAGUUUUGAAAUUCCAAGAGACCUGGAGAACAUGGACUUUCCUGGAGAUGUGGCUACCUGAAAAAGAAACGGCUAAAAGGUGCAGGAGAGAUGACUCAAGGGACAGAGAGAUCUGAAAUUGUUACAUUAAACAAGUUUCCCAGGCAAAGCAAGAAAUAGCCUGGAGUCUGCUCCUGGUUACAACUUUAAUCAUUACAUACAAGCUGACUGCAAAUGAUGAACAAAAUACUUUAAUCUGGACUUCAUCACGUUAUGUUUGCAACUUUGGAGUUCUGAAUUUGUAAUAAGAGCGUGAAAGGUUUACCUGCAAUGCCAGUCUCAUUGAAUUCCAGUAAAUCCAAGAAAGAAUGUGUGGCUUCAUGGAAUGGAGCAAAGAGAUGGAGGACCUGGUGCCCCAACACUACAGGCACAACAGCGUGGACAUGGAUCCUCUCUGCAGAGCCCUGUAUUCAGCCAAAAUGCCUAGGACAGUGGGAAGUGCAGGAAUGUUCUUGUGCCUGUUUACUUGUGACAAGAUCAUCAAGUUUCUCAGCUCAGAGGGGACACUGA
Molecule: long non-coding RNA, 635 nt
Filed under: Aotus nancymaae (Ma's night monkey)
Lineage: Eukaryota; Metazoa; Chordata; Mammalia; Primates; Aotidae
Description: lncRNA (ENSANAG00000039386.1)
Source: RNAcentral